GGGGAAUAUUGGACAAUGGACCAAAAGUCUGAUCCAGCAAUUCUGUGUGCACGAUGACGUUUUUCGGAAUGUAAAGUGCUUUCAGUUGGGAAGAAAAAAAUGACGGUACCUGCAGAAGAAGCGACGGCUAAAUACGUGCCAGCAGCCGCGGUAAUACGUAUGUCGCAAGCGUUAUCCGGAAUUAUUGGGCAUAAAGGGCAUCUAGGCGGCCAGACAAGUCUGGGGUGAAAACUUGCGGCUCAACCGCAAGCCUGCCCUGGAAACUGUUUGGCUAGAGUGCUGGAGAGGUGGACGGAACUGCACGAGUAGAGGUGAAAUUCGUAGAUAUGUGCAGGAAUGCCGAUGAUGAAGAUAGUUCACUGGACGGCAACUGACGCUGAAGUGCGAAAGCUAGGGGAGCGAACAGGAUUAGAUACCCUGGUAGUCCUAGCUGUAAACGAUGAUUACUGGGUGUGGGCAUGAAGAGUGUCUGUGCCGAAGCUAAUGCGAUAAGUAAUCCGCCUGGGGAGUACGACCGCAAGGUUG
This 525-nucleotide ribosomal RNA is filed under the name uncultured bacterium. Its description in RNAcentral is "bacterial SSU rRNA". It matches the Rfam family "Bacterial small subunit ribosomal RNA", at positions 356 to 896 of the family's 1533-position model. The record is from RNAcentral.